GGAUAAAGGUAAUUGUCUGUUUUAAUCACUACUACUAUGUUAAUUGCUAUAAUAUUCUCGAGUUUGCGAGUUUGGGAUCACUAUAGGCUGAAUACACGUUGCAUAAAGACGCAUACGUAUGGGAAUGUACUUUGUUCAUGAUGUAGAUUUCACAUGUAGUUGGUGUGAUAUGGAGAUGGUCGUAGCUCCUGAGCAAUUAUUUUCUGCUUUACGAUUGCUUAGUAGCUGUAAGACUGUGGUGUUGAUAGGUUUUUCCUCAUUGCUAUCCUUGUAAUUGUGUCCUUGAUGUGUGAAUUGUGAAGGUUUCUGGAUUUUCAUCAUUGCGAAGAAAUCUUCUACGUCUGUCACCAAGGCUGGCCAAUCUCCCUGAAGAGGUGAAGAAGAAACUCGAAGAUCCUGUUAGUAGGUAUAAUUUUGGAUGGAGUCAUGGAAAGGAAAAGCUGGAAUCUGGAAAGCCAGAUAUGCUAAAAGGCUCUUUCUAUGCAGACCCGAUAUUAGAUACACCAACAACAGAUGAGGCUCUAAUUCAAAGGUACCCAUCAUAUUGUGGAUCAGCCUAAACAUGAGUUGCCAGAACUUGAAGUGGCCUUCAAAGCUAUGGGAAAGUUGAUCCUUGAAGUUGGACUUAUGGUGGCAUUUCACUGUGAAAGAUAUGGUAAAGUCUCAUUUGUUAUAGUUUUAAUACAGUUGAUCAGAACUGUAUUGUUUUCAGGUCCCAUUUUAUUCUCCAUUGCCAGCUUUUUUCUGCAUAGACAUUA
RNA transcript from Fragaria vesca subsp. vesca, 758 nucleotides. RefSeq lists it as uncharacterized. Lineage: Eukaryota; Viridiplantae; Streptophyta; Magnoliopsida; Rosales; Rosaceae. The record is from RefSeq and is a predicted model, not a curated record. The transcript is spliced from 6 exons.